UCCUUAGAUGUUCUGGGCUGCACGCGCGCUACACUGAUGCACUCAACGAGUUUACGACCUUGCCCGAUAGGGUUGGGUAAUCUUUUUAAAAUGCAUCGUGAUGGGGAUAGAUUAUUGCAAUUAUUAAUCUUCAACGAGGAAUUCCUAGUAAGCGCGAGUCAUCAGCUCGUGCUGAUUACGUCCCUGCCCUUUGUACACACCGCCCGUCGCUCCUACCGAUUGAGUGCUCAGGUGAAUAAUUCGGACUGCAGCAAUGUUUGGAUCCCGAACGUUGCAGCGGAAAGUUUAGUGAACCUUAUCACUUAGAGGAAGGAGAAGUCGUAACA
This 326-nucleotide ribosomal RNA is filed under the name uncultured eukaryote. Its description in RNAcentral is "partial 18S ribosomal RNA". It matches the Rfam family "Eukaryotic small subunit ribosomal RNA", at positions 1470 to 1796 of the family's 1831-position model. The record is from RNAcentral.